This 253-nucleotide ribosomal RNA is filed under the name uncultured bacterium. Its description in RNAcentral is "partial 16S ribosomal RNA". It matches the Rfam family "Bacterial small subunit ribosomal RNA", at positions 524 to 776 of the family's 1533-position model. The record is from RNAcentral.
UACGAACCGUACAAACGUUAUUCGGAAUCACUGGGCUUAAAGGGUGCGUAGGCGGCCAUGUAAGUGAGGUGUGAAAUCCCUCGGCUCAACCGAGGAACUGCGCUUCAUACUGCAUGGCUUGAGGGAGACAGGGGUAAGCGGAACUGAUGGUGGAGCGGUGGAAUGCGUAGAGAUCCCCAAGAACACCAGUUGCGAAGGCGGCUGACUGGACACAUAUUGACGCUGAGGCUCGAAAGCAUGGGGAGCAAACAGG